Molecule: non-coding RNA, 397 nt
Organism: Pelobates cultripes (western spadefoot toad)
Lineage: Eukaryota; Metazoa; Chordata; Amphibia; Anura; Pelobatidae
Source: the annotation of a GenBank genome assembly
GCUAUUUCUUCUGUUUUAAUGGGUUUUUUACUUGAAUUGUUGUAUAGUUGCAUAUAGUAUAUUUAACCCCUAGUGUCACCAGGCCUAUAUCUUUUCCUUGUCAACUCUAUGGAUCAUUAAUUCCUAGUGCUUGCCCCUUCCUAAAUUGCACAUAUUUCACCUUUUAAUCACUUCCAUUUCACAGCCUCAGUCUCUUGCAAACAAGCCUGACAACAACACAACUCUUCCCUCGACUCACCCACCUACCCCUAAGUCCUGUUUUAAUAUAUUGACUUUCCUAAUUACUCAUGAAUGGUCAGGCCCAGACUGGGACAAAAAAUAGCCACAGGCAUUUAAGACUGAUCAGCCCAUUUUUUUUCAGGUCAAGUGGCAAAUAAUGACAAAUAUAAUAUAACGG